AACGCUGGCGGCAGGUUUUAGGCAUGCAAGUCGAACGAGAGAGCAUCUUCGGAUGUUAGUAUAGUGGCGCACGGGUGAGUGACGCGUGGGAAUUUACCUUUUGGUGGGGAAUAACAGUUGGAAACGACUGCUAAUACCGCAUAAGCCCGUAAGGGGAAAGCUUUAUGCGCCGAAAGAUAAGCCCGCGUUGGAUUAGCUAGUUGGUAGGGUAAAAGCCUACCAAGGCAAUGAUCCAUAGCUGGUUCGAGAGGAUGAUCAGCCACACUAGAACUGAGACACGGUCUAGACUCCUACGGGAGGCAGCAGCUAAGAAUAUUGGACAAUGGGGGAAACCCUGAUCCAGCCAUGCCGCGUGAGUGAAGACGGCCUUCGGGUUGUAAAGCUCUUUCAAUUGUGAAGAUGAUGACGGUAACAAUAGAAGAAGCACCGGCUAACU
Molecule: ribosomal RNA, 436 nt
Filed under: uncultured Alphaproteobacteria bacterium
Lineage: Bacteria; Pseudomonadati; Pseudomonadota; Alphaproteobacteria
Description: bacterial SSU rRNA
Rfam family: Bacterial small subunit ribosomal RNA
Source: RNAcentral